AGUUUGAUCAUGGCUCAGGAGCGUACGCUGGCGGCAGGCCUAACACAUGCAAGUCGAACGGAUCCUUCGGGAUUAGUGGCGGACGGGUGAGUAACACGUGGGAACGUGCCUUUUGGUUCGGAACAACUCAGGGAAACUUGAGCUAAUACCGAAUGAGCCCUUCGGGGGAAAGAUUUAUCGCCAUUAGAGCGGCCCGCGUCUGAUUAGCUAGUUGGUGAGGUAAAGGCUCACCAAGGCUACGAUCAGUAGCUGGUCUGAGAGGAUGAUCAGCCACAUUGGGACUGAGACACGGCCCAAACUCCUACGGGAGGCAGCAGUGGGGAAUCUUGCGCAAUGGGCGAAAGCCUGACGCAGCCAUGCCGCGUGAAUGAUGAAGGUCUUAGGAUUGUAAAAUUCUUUCACCGGGGACGAUAAUGACGGUACCCGGAGAAGAAGCCCCGGCUAACUUCGUG
Molecule: ribosomal RNA, 452 nt
Filed under: uncultured bacterium
Lineage: Bacteria
Description: bacterial SSU rRNA
Rfam family: Bacterial small subunit ribosomal RNA
Source: RNAcentral